GAGUUUGAUCCUGGCUCAGGAUGAACGCUGGCGGCGUGCUUAACACAUGCAAGUCGAACGAACCUUCGGGUUAGUGGCGGACGGGUGAGUAACGCGUGGGAAUCUGCCCUCAGGAGGGGGAUAACGGCUGGAAACGGCCGCUAAUACCCCAUAUGCCGAGAGGUGAAAUGAAUUUCGCCUGAGGAUGAGCCCGCGUCUGAUUAGCUAGUUGGUGAGGUAAGAGCUCACCAAGGCAUCGAUCAGUAGCUGGUCUGAGAGGAUGAUCAGCCACACUGGGACUGAGACACGGCCCAGACUCCUACGGGAGGCAGCAGUGGGGAAUUUUCCGCAAUGGGCGAAAGCCUGACGGAGCAACGCCGCGUGAGGGAUGAAGGCCUCUGGGCUGUAAACCUCUUUUCUCAAGGAAGAAGAUCUGACGGUACUUGAGGAAUAAGCCACGGCUAAUUCCGUGCCAGCAGCCGCGGUAAUACGGGAGUGGCAAGCGUUAUCCGGAAUUAUUGGGCGUAAAGCGUCCGCAGGCGGCCCUUCAAGUCUGCUGUUAAUAAGUGGAGCUUAACUCCAUCAUGGCAGUGGAAACUGUUGGGCUUGAGUGUGGUAGGGGCAGAGGGAAUUCCCGGUGUAGCGGUGAAAUGCGUAGAUAUCGGGAAGAACACCAGUGGCGAAGGCGCUCUGCUGGGCCAUAACUGACGCUCAUGGACGAAAGCCAGGGGAGCGAAAGGGAUUAGAUACCCCUGUAGUCCUGGCCGUAAACGAUGAACACUAGGUGUCGGGGGAAUCGACCCCCUCGGUGUCGUAGCCAACGCGUUAAGUGUUCCGCCUGGGGAGUACGCACGCAAGUGUGAAACUCAAAGGAAUUGACGGGGGCCCGCACAAGCGGUGGAGUAUGUGGUUUAAUUCGAUGCAACGCGAAGAACCUUACCAGGUUUGACAUCCUGCGAACCUCUGGAAAC
RNAcentral lists this ribosomal RNA (950 nucleotides) under uncultured bacterium. RNAcentral's name for it is "bacterial SSU rRNA". It matches the Rfam family "Bacterial small subunit ribosomal RNA", at positions 9 to 1007 of the family's 1533-position model. The record is from RNAcentral.